This 73-nucleotide transfer RNA is filed under the name Nocardiopsaceae bacterium. Its description in RNAcentral is "tRNA-His". It matches the Rfam family "tRNA". Rfam says of the family: Transfer RNA (tRNA) molecules are approximately 80 nucleotides in length. The record is from RNAcentral. Lineage: Bacteria; Bacillati; Actinomycetota; Actinomycetes; Streptosporangiales; Nocardiopsidaceae.
GUGGGUGUAGCUCAGCUGGCAGAGCACCAGGUUGUGGUCCUGGGGGUCGCGGGUUCGAACCCCGUCACUCACC